CUCAAACUGAACACAUCAACAUCAAACAUCAACAUCUCAAACUGAGAAUCAGGGACUAAACAACAGCCAAUCAGAAUCAGUCAGGUGUUUCUCAGUGAGCAGGUGUUUGUUACCGUGACAAUGGUGAGUGGGGCGCUGAGGAUGAUGAUGGGAAACCUUUCAGUAUCAACACUUACUCGUCCAAAAGAAAUCCUGCAGGAGACAAGGAAGAUGAUUUACAGCAAACCUCCAAGGAACAAGAUCGGAGCCGCGCAAAGUUUUUUAGUCAUGUUGGUAUUUGCCGCUGCCAUGUUGACUCCAGCUGCCUGGAUUCUUCAUCACCUGCCACAGUACCGACAGAGGGCCAAACAGGUUCAACAGAGUCCCAGGACCUGACCUUCAUCUUCAUCAUCAUCUUCCUCUUCCUCCUCCUCAAUACCAACAACUGGAUGUCCAUUUGUCAAUAUAUUUUAAAUUUCAAUCAAUAAAUGUAUUGGAUAAAUAGAUUCCAAGUUUAAUUGACAAUAUUGAACUUUAAUCAAUAAACACUUUAUUAUGACAUCUAACUGUACUUUUAAAACAAGAGCAGUCUGUUUUUCUCCUCAUCUUGUUUUCGUUUAGUAAAACAAAAUAUGUUUGCUAUUGUUGCUUCUCUCUGGUUCAAAUCUGACUCUGACCAAACAGGAAGUAUGUGAAGAUAAAUAAAAGCUGGAGUUUGUGUGUUUGUGUUUGAGCAGGAUGUUUCUGUUUGUUUAGAUUUCUUAUGCUGGUUUUACACAGUUAAUUACUUCCUGUUUGAGAACAUAAUUUCCCACAGAGACAAACUCAUUAAACCUGAGAAAGACA
Seriola dumerili (greater amberjack) is the source of this 825-nucleotide long non-coding RNA. RefSeq lists it as uncharacterized. The record is from RefSeq and is a predicted model, not a curated record. The transcript is spliced from 2 exons. Lineage: Eukaryota; Metazoa; Chordata; Actinopteri; Carangiformes; Carangidae.